UUCAUCGGAAAUGGGUACAAUUUUAAACCCUUUAACGAGUUUUUUAUGAGAGGGCAGUCUGGUGCCAGCAGCCGCGGUAAUUCCAGCUCUCAAAGGCAUAGAAUUAUUGUGCGGUUAAAAAGCUCGUAGUUGGAUCUGUGCCAUAGGACGUGGUCCACCUUCGGGUGCGUACUACGCUCCUAGGCUUUUUGCUGGUUUUCCCGUCGUAGCCUUCACUGGUUGCGGCGGGUGGCUGGCGAGUUUACUUUGAGAAAAUCAGAGUGCUCAAUACAGGCGUAUCGCUUGAAUGAUUGUGCAUGGAAUAAUAGAAAAGGAUUUCGGUCCUCUUUUAUUGGUUUUGUGGACUGAGAUAAUGGUUAACAGGGACAAACGGGGGCAUUCGUAUCUCUGCGUGAGAGGUGAAAUUCUUGGACCGUAGAGAGACGCCCUACUGCGAAAGCAUUUGCCAAGAACGUCUUCAUUAAUCAAGAACGAAAGUCAGAGGUUCGAAGGCGAUCAGAUACCGCCCUAGUUCUGACCGUAAACGAUGCCAACUAGCGAUCCGCCGGUGGAUUUUUAGCCCUGGUGGGUAGCUUCCCGGAAACGAAAGUCUUCCGGUUCCGGGGGAAGUAUGGUUGCAAAGCUGAAACUUAAAGGAAUUGACGGAAGGGCACCACCAGGAGUGGAGCCUGCGGCUUAAUUUGACUAAGGGC
Molecule: ribosomal RNA, 692 nt
Filed under: nematode environmental sample AGO-2003
Lineage: Eukaryota; Metazoa; Nematoda
Description: SSU rRNA
Rfam family: Eukaryotic small subunit ribosomal RNA
Source: RNAcentral